This 467-nucleotide ribosomal RNA is filed under the name uncultured bacterium. Its description in RNAcentral is "partial 16S ribosomal RNA". It matches the Rfam family "Bacterial small subunit ribosomal RNA", at positions 28 to 507 of the family's 1533-position model. The record is from RNAcentral.
GACGAACGCUGGCGGCGUGCUUAACACAUGCAAGUCGAACGGAAAGGCCCUGCUUUUGUGGGGUGCUCGAGUGGCGAACGGGUGAGUAACACGUGAGUAACCUGCCCUUGACUUUGGGAUAACUUCAGGAAACUGGGGCUAAUACCGGAAAGGAGCUCCUGCUGCAUGGUGGGGGUUGGAAAGUUUCGGCGGUUGGGGAUGGACUCGCGGCUUAUCAGCUUGUUGGUGGGGUAGUGGCUUACCAAGGCUUUGACGGGUAGCCGGCCUGAGAGGGUGACCGGCCACAUUGGGACUGAGAUACGGCCCAGACUCCUACGGGAGGCAGCAGUGGGGAAUAUUGCACAAUGGGCGGAAGCCUGACGCAGAACGCCGCGUGCGGGAUGACGGCCUUCGGGUUGUAAACCGCUUUCGCCUGUGACGAAGCGUGAGUGACGGUAAUGGGUAAAGAAGCACCGGCUAACUACGUG